UCAAUUCAGUUUUCCCUAGGAGACCAAAUCUUAUGCAAGGCAUGUGUGUGACUCUGAUGCUAGGAUUCUCACUUCUGCCUCCCACAUGUCGUGUGACUCUUCUCAGCCCCUAGAGUUUGCAGCUGCCCUCUUGGGAAGCACUGGAGUUGUGGGAGUAAUGAAGCAGAGGCUGGAGGAGCUCCUAGCAAACAGUGCCUCUGGCACUGGGUUGGCAAACUGGGGUCAGUGGAUUUUCCAGGAGAUUAUUUUACAAGUUGAAGUGGAGAAUCACAGCUCUAGAAAAAAGGCAGCUAUGUUCCAAAUUGCAAACAGUCUCGGGAAAGCACUGUACUUCUGCUGCUAUGAAGCUCCAAAUGUAGCCAUGUAUUUACUGUGCUGCAAUCUGUAUUCUAUAGAGUACUCUCUCCAACUGCAGGUGCCUUGCCCAAAAACCCUUGCCAAGGGGCAAGCCAACGACUAUGAUGCCUUCAGAAGAAGUUAUUUCAAAUACAUUGAUAAAAUUAGGCAGGUCAUAGCUGGACAGAGCAGGACUGGGCACAUCUAAAUCCUUACACUGGAAGGCUGCAGCAGAACAAUCAUAUGUUUGAACACAACCUGAGACACUUCAGGGGCUGUGUCCUCAUUUUUUAAAAAAGCGGUGGGCUUUUAACUUAUGGAAAUGACUUUGUGUUCAAUCUCCAGUCCUGACACCCCACCUUCAAAAAGGAAAGUCAUGAGGGAAAAUGCAAUUUAAAGGUUGAGAUGUUCAUUACCACUUGGACUAUCUGUCUGAGGUCCUGUAUUUAACGGUGACCCUGAGAUGAGAACCUGUCCUCAAAAGAAUAUCUAAAAAGCAAUGAAUUUUCCAUGGUUCCCAAAGACCUUGGGGAUGGGGCAGAACAAAAGAACCCUCAGUAAAUGAGGGAGAAAGCUUCAGGAAUGAAGUGUGAGGACCUCUUGGUCUCCAGAAGUGGAGACUCUUCUGGGCCCUGGAACUACGCUGUGUGUGAGAAAGGGUGCCCACCUCCCAGGUGCUAUGCAGGGUGACCCAACUGCACUCACACCCAUAAUCCCAGUGUUGGACCAUGGGUCAAUCAAAAACUGUAAGAGCUCACCCCAUGACUGCAGGAGGCUUUGAGGGACAUCUAGACACAAAGCAUAGCAGUGCUCCAUGACUGCCUUCAUUUUAAGGCUGAGCGCCUCCUCUUUUCAUGGGACACUGUUGUGGAAGGGAGCGUGUGGAGCACUGGCUCUGGCACAACCAGCCACCAACACUGUGUAAAGCUGCUUUACGUGGGGAGGCUGGAAGUGAUCAAGAAAUAGCACGACUGCUUAUUUGGGAGACAGUUUCACAUGUGCUCCGAGGCUGUUUCUCCUGUGAAAUAAAUCAGAUGUAAAUGUGUAAAUAUCUCAUAGUGUGAGAAACUGAAGGAGGAAAUAAGGACCAAAAUGAACAAUAGAUGUUGAGCAAUGGAAGAAAUUGUUGAAAAGGAAAGAACAACUAGGUGGGGAAAGUGGGAAAGGAAAAAAGGAAAAUAACUAUUUAAAAAGAUCAAAUAGAAACAAAGCUUUGUAAAGAGGGAGGGGAAAAUGGAUUGAAGGGAGGGAAAGGGAUUGGGGAAAAGCAGAGAAAUCAAAAUAUACCAUGUACAGUCAGAAAUGUCCUAUGACAAAUAUGAUCUUAGUGUAUAUCCAAAACAUAUCAAUAAAUUUAAUUAUAUUAAACAGAAACAAAAGCAAAAACCAUAGCUCUCAUACUAACCCUAAAACUAGUUUAACUAGUUAAGCUAGCUAGUCUAACACUGACCCUAAAUCUAAUACUAACCUUAGGUCUAGCUCUGGUCCUAAUCCUUGGCUGAAGUAAAAGCCUAACCCUAAUGGUUAUGCCUAACCCUGGACCUAGACCUAACACUAACUCUUACAUUAACAAUAAACUUCAUAAUAAACCUAACCUUAGCUCUAGCCCUAACCUAAUGCUAACAGUAACCCUAACCCCAACCAAAGAUAGCACUACCCAUAAGCCAAGCCUAAACCCUCACCUUAAAGCUAAUCUUAAUUUAAACCAAAACCUAACAUAAUCCCUAGCCCUAACCCUCC
RNAcentral lists this long non-coding RNA (2076 nucleotides) under Chinchilla lanigera (long-tailed chinchilla). RNAcentral's name for it is "lncRNA (ENSCLAG00000023088.1)". The record is from RNAcentral. Lineage: Eukaryota; Metazoa; Chordata; Mammalia; Rodentia; Chinchillidae.